UACAGAGGGUGCAAGCGUUAAUCGGAAUUACUGGGCGUAAAGCGCGCGUAGGUGGUUUGUUAAGUUGGAUGUGAAAGCCCCGGGCUCAACCUGGGAACUGCAUUCGGGACUGCAUUGCUAGAAUAUGGGAGAGGGAAGUGGAAUUUCAGGUGUAGCGGUGAAAUGCGUAGAUAUCUGAAGGAACAUCAGUGGCGAAAGCGACUUCCUGGACCAAUACUGACGCUCAUGUGCGAAAGCGUGGGGAGCAAACAGG
RNAcentral lists this ribosomal RNA (253 nucleotides) under uncultured bacterium. Its description in RNAcentral is "partial 16S ribosomal RNA". It matches the Rfam family "Bacterial small subunit ribosomal RNA", at positions 524 to 776 of the family's 1533-position model. The record is from RNAcentral.